AAGUAUUUUAAAGGGGUUAUUAAGGAUAACUAGCAAAUUUAUAAAAAAGGAGGCUUAAGCCAAAAGUCAAUCAUGCUGAUAAGAUAAAAAUAAAAUUUUAUUAAAUCGGUUCGUGACAUGUGACGAUCCUAAGGGAAACCUUAUUAUUAUUACUUCCUGAAGUAAAACAUUUCAUUAGGGAAAGGAAAGGAAAUCAACCGAGACUCCGAAAGUAAUGGUGAGUGAAAUCGGAUUAGCCUAAAAAUAGGUUUAUAAAAAAAAAAUCUUGUAUGAAAUUUAUUUCGCUUUUAAUUAAUUUAAUUAAUUGCAAUUUAAUAAGAAGGUUUUGGAAAUCCGAAAGAUUAUUAGUUAAGAAAUAAAUGUAAUUAAGAAAUUCAUUAAUUUAAAAUUAAAAUUCUAUAAUUAGAAAUAGUAAUAGAAAAUUAAAACUAAAUUAAAACAAUUUAAAAAAAGGUUAGUCUAUCUAGUUAUUAUGAGAAUAAUUAUUAGGUGGUCAGUGUAAGUCCUGUAUUUUUAUAAAUUCUAUAAUUAAUUUACUAUAAUUUAAUUUUAUAAUUAUUUUAUGGAUAAAUAAAUUAAUUUUUUAAAUAUAAUUAAUUUUCACAUUAAUAUAUUUAAAAUAAACAUGAAGUACGAUGAGAGAUAACUUGUCGGAACAUAGGGGAACCAUCCUCUAAGGCUAAGUAUUUAUAAAUUUAGCGAUAGUGAAAAGUACCGUAAGGGAAAAGUUGAAAAGAGCGAGGGUUGAAAAAUAGAAAUAGAAAAGAUAAAUAAUAAAGUAUAUUUAUUCACCCUUGUACGUACAUAACGCAGUGAAAUAGACUUGAAUUAGUAACUCUAUAAGCAGUCGAAAUUUUAAAACAAAAUGACGGCGUACCUUUUGCAUAAUGGGUCAGCAAGUUAAUAGGAGUAGCAAGGUUAAAAACCCUAGCGAAAGCGACUGGAUCAAUAAAAUGAUGAUGGAUAAGUUACUUCUAUUAGACCCGAAGCCAGGUGAUCUUUCCAAGACCAGAUUAUAAUGGAUCGAACGGGUGAAUGUUGCAUAAUUCUCCGAAGAGUUUUGGAAAGCGGCGAAAUACCAAUCUGACCUGGUGAUAGCUGGUUUUCUACGAAACAUAUUUAAGUAUGACAUCUACACAAAAUUUAUGAAGGUACAGCACGGCAAUCCCAACUAAGUUUUAGUAUUUUUAAUUAUUUAAUUAUAAUUAUAUUAUCUAUUAGGCGUUUAGGUUGCGGGGACCUCGAAAAUCUUACCAAUGGAAGUGAAUCUCGGAAUUACAUAAAUUGGUGGUAGAUAUUCAGACUGCUCAUGCUAAGUUGGGUAGUCAAGACGGAAACAGCCGAGAACACAGAAUUAAGGUCCCGAAUGAUUAUUAAGUGAAAUUAAGGAAGUAACAAAUUGAAUGCAGCUGUAAAGUGAGCUUGGUAGUAGCUUCUUAUAAUGAUCGUGUAACAACGCAUCAGCCCUUAGAUUGUUGCGCCGAAAAUUUAACGGGUCUAAAAUAAUCAACCGAUAUCGUGUUAAUUUUAAAUAAAUAAGUAUUAUGUCUUAUAAUUUAUAAUUCUAUAUAUAAUUUUGUUAUAACAGAUUAAUUUAUUUUUUAAUAUUUAUUUUAUUUUGUUUUAUAUAUAUUAAUUUUUUAAUUCCCUUAAAUGAAUUAUAUAAAAAUAUUUAAAUUUAUAUGAAAUAUUUAAUAAUAUUUUAAAUAGUUUAAAUUACAUAUUGAAAUAAUUUAUAAUUAAAUCAUAAUAUUUUAAUAGUAUUUUUAUUUAUAAUAAUCAAUUUUGAUUAAAAUAAAAAUUAAUAAUAUUAAAAUUAUCUUAUAUAUUUAAAAUCUAGGUAGUAGAACAUUCAGAUAAUUUAAUUAACCAAUAAUUAACAGUGUUUCAUUGUAUAUAGGAAUCUGAAGAGAUAAUGCUGACAUGAGUAACGUAAAAAGAAAGCAAAAAGAGAAUAUUUAAUAUGUUCUCGGAAGAAAAACUUUCUCGCCGAAUACGAAAGGGUUAUUAGCUAAAGAUUAAUUCGACUAAUGUUAAAGCGGCCUCUAAGGUUCAAAACCAAUGUUUUGACUGAUGAGUAAAUAUCUGAAAGUCCUAAGUGGAGAAUUUAAUUAAUGACACAGGAAAGAAGUUUUAAUAUUAAAAAAAAUUAAGCCAAAUUAAAAAUAAGCAAUUAAUUUUAACUGGUUUAAUAAUAUUAUUAUGGAAAGAAGAUUAUUCUAAUUAAAAUUAGAAGUAAUUUUAUGAAUAGUAUUGAAUUGUCCUGAAAACUUUUAAUUGAAUAAUUGAAGUAUGUUAUUUAUUAAAUAUUGGACCAGGAAAAUAAAGAUAAAACUCAGUGUAUUAAAUAAAUUAAGUACUUAACUUUUUAGGACUUAUUGAAUGAAUAUUCUAUGAGUAAACUAUCAAAAAUAAUUAUAUAUAAAUUAUAAAAAAUAUUUCGGAAUGUCAAACUGAGAUACACUUUUUAUUAAGAUAUAUAUAAAUUAAGUUUAUAAUAGUCGAAAGAAUAAAAUCGUUAUUUGUGAAAUAGAUUAAUCUUUGUUUAUUAAUUCUCUCUAGAAGAGAUAUUUACACUUGAGUCUACCGUACCCUAAACCGACACAGGUUCGUUGGUAGAGUAUACUAAGGCGUAGAGCUAAAAGUUGUUAAGGAACUCGGCAAAUUAACCUCAUAAGUUCGACGACAAGAGGAACCACUUUUUGAAUAAAUAACUCCAUUGGAAUAUUUUCUAAUUAUUCUCUUAAUAGUGGUGGCACAAAAUCGGAAGCCCCGACUGUUUACUAAAAACACAACUAUCUGCAAUGAUGUAAAUCAUAGUAUAGGUAGUGAGGUUUGCCCGAUGCCAUUAAUAUAAGAGAGGUAAUGGGUAACUGUUACUUAUCGAAAGUCUGGUUAAUAGCGGUCUUAACUAUGAGGAUCCAAAGGUAGCAAAAUAAAUUGGCCAUUAAAUGUGGUCCGGUAUCAAUAAUUUAACGAUGGCUUCACUGUCUCUACAACUUGCUCAGUGAAAUUGAAUUACCCGUGCAGAUGCGGGUUGCCUCCAGGGGGACGGGAAGACCCUAUGCAGCUUCUACUGUAGUUAGUUAUCACAUUAAUCUACAACAACCUUGGUUAAUAUUAAUUAGGGAUGUCGAUAGACAAUAAUUGGAAAACCUCUAAACUAAGGUUGGGUUAAUGUUUACCUUUUCAUUUUAAAAAAAUAAGAGGGAGAGUUGACUAAUUGGCAGUUUGACUGGGGCGGUCGUCUUUAAUAGAGUAGCAAAGUACAUCCAAAUAUUUAAUAAAUUAACUAGAUCAUAUUCAUUGAUUAUUUAUAAUUUUUGAAUAUUCUGACAAAUAUCAUUCUAUUGUGAUUCUUAUCUUUUUAUUUUUUAUAUAAAUUUAAUUUAUUUUUGUUUAUAUAUUUUUUUAUAAUAUAAGAACACUAAAAUAUCAACUUUUUAUUUUUUUAUAAGGUAUAGCUAGAAAUUGAAUGGAGAUCAAUUAACCAGUGAAAGGUUAUGCAGGGCGCAAUGGCGGUAAGCAUGCUUAACUGAAAGACUUAAAAGUCGCACAGAUACGUAAGUAGGGCAUAGUGACCCCUCGCUAUAUAAUGGAAUAGACGGGGAUCAAUUGAUAAAAGUUACGCUAGGGAUAACAGGCUGAUAGCCGGCGAGAGUACACAUUGUCCCGGCUGUUUGGCACCUCGAUGUCGACUUAUCCUAUCCUCCGGGGGAAGAAGCUUGGAAGGGUUCGGCUGUUCGCCGAUUAAAAGGUUACAUGAGUUGGGUUUAAUACGACGUGAGUCAGUAUGGUCCCUAUCUUCUGGAGGGAUAAAUAGUAAAAAGGGGCAGACCUUCUAGUACGAAAGGAUCAAUAGGCUGUGUUUCUCUAGUGUACCAAUUGUUGAUUUCAAAUUGACGUAGUUUGUUGAAUAAAGUAAACUUACUAUUGUUGGUUAAUUGGCAUAGUUGGGUAGCCACAAACAUAUAGAUAAGCGCUGAAUGUAUAUAAAGCAAGAAACUAUCCCCUAGAUACUAUUACGGAUUGCUCUUUGACUCUAUCUUUGGAUUGGUAGUAAUAAUUCC
This is a ribosomal RNA of Serpula lacrymans var. lacrymans S7.3, 4070 nucleotides long. It matches the Rfam family "Bacterial large subunit ribosomal RNA". Lineage: Eukaryota; Fungi; Basidiomycota; Agaricomycetes; Boletales; Serpulaceae. The record is from Rfam.